Molecule: small nuclear RNA, 104 nt
Organism: Artibeus jamaicensis (Jamaican fruit-eating bat)
Lineage: Eukaryota; Metazoa; Chordata; Mammalia; Chiroptera; Phyllostomidae
Source: RefSeq, a predicted model, not a curated record
GUGCUCGCUUUGGCAGCACAUACACUAAAACUGGAACAAUACAGAGAUUAGCAUGGCCCCUGUGCAAGGAUGGCAUGCAAAUCCGUGAAGCGUUCCAUAUUGUU